RNAcentral lists this ribosomal RNA (1026 nucleotides) under Triticum aestivum (bread wheat). Its description in RNAcentral is "partial small subunit ribosomal RNA". The record is from RNAcentral. Lineage: Eukaryota; Viridiplantae; Streptophyta; Magnoliopsida; Poales; Poaceae.
AUGGUCGAUCUAGGGAAUGAGGGAGGUGACGCACCACUUGCGGAGGAUGGUCAAAACCUACCCCCCGCCGCGGCCGACGCACUUGUUGCUCCGGCCGUUGCUCCCGUCGCCCCCAUUAACCCGAGGGCCCCGUUGACCGCGGCCGAUAUUCUUUCAAUGUUUGCGGACCUCAAAACUGCUAUGUUGAAAGAAGUUCGCUCCUCGGUCAAGGAGGAAAUUGAUGCUCGCUUAAAGCCCUCGACAUCCGCCUCAAACUCAUUUGAUCCAAAUGCGGUUCAUGAUGCGGAUGAUUCGAGAGAACCUCUUGCAUCCCCGGCUCGCACUCAAGUUCCCAAGUACAAUGCCGUGGAACCCUUUUACUCACCACAACCCUUGCAACACCCUCGCAUUAAUCCUGUGGGGCCUCCGCCCCCUUUGAAAGCUAACGCGUUUGCUAAGUGGAAGCUAGAUAUGGAGUCUCAUAUUCGCAGUGCAUCUACACAACUAUGGUGGAUUGUGGUCAACGGUUUCAAUCCCAAGGAUCCCAUGAAUCUCACUCCAAGAGAAGCGGUUGAUGAUCAACUCAAUGCUACCGCCCACAACAUGUUGCGCACCGCGGUGACCGAUGACUAUAGUGACUCCAUUGCUCUACUCAAGACCGCCGAGGAAAUUUGGGAUUGCCUUGAGGAGGCCCUCGAAGGUGAUGAAGCAAUUCGAAGAUCUCGGUUGGCUUUGCUCAAGCAAGAAGUCAACCUAUUUGUGAGAAAUGAGGGUGAGUCCGCAGAAGAGGUAUAUCGAAGGUUGAAGUCUCUUGUGCUCAAUUUGAGAACCUUUGGGUGCACUUGGGCAAAUGAUGAUUUCAUUAAGGACAAGUUCAUUGAUGUUAUGGUUCUCACGGAACAUACCAUGGUGAUGAUGAUACAUCAACGCCCGGACUAUCAAAAGUUGACCGCGGCACAAGUUGUAUCCACUUUCUCAACUCAUGUUCUUUUGGAGACCAAGUCCAAGAAGACCUUUGCAUUGAACUCAAAUCAUCAUUUGCAUUGA